AACGCGAAGAACCUUACCUGGGCUUGACAUACUGGUGAAAGCUGGUGGAAACACCGGCCCCUCUUCGGAGCGCCAGCACAGGUGCUGCAUGGCUGUCGUCAGCUCGUGUCGUGAGAUGUUGGGUUAAGUCCCGCAACGAGCGCAACCCUCGCUCCCAGUUGCCAGCGGUUCGGCCGGGGACUCUGGGGGGACUGCCGGCGUUAAGCCGGAGGAAGGUGGGGACGACGUCAAGUCAUCACGGCCCUUACGUCCAGGGCGACACACGUGCUACAAUGCCCGGUACAGCGCGUCGCCAACUCGCGAGAGGGAGCCAAUCGCUAAAAGCCGGGCUAAGUUCGGAUUGCAGUCUGCAACUCGACUGCAUGAAGCCGGAAUCGCUAGUAAUCGCGGAUCAGCCACGCCGCGGUGAAUACGUUCCCGGGCCUUGUA
Molecule: ribosomal RNA, 429 nt
Filed under: uncultured delta proteobacterium
Lineage: Bacteria; Deltaproteobacteria
Also listed under: 1 other name
Description: bacterial SSU rRNA
Rfam family: Bacterial small subunit ribosomal RNA
Source: RNAcentral